UGACAGUUUGGGGUUUUGGGUGUCUUUUUCACCUACCUUGUCAAUGUGAUUGUCCCCAAAGUUAUUAACAAUUAGACAAUGAUCAAAGCUAUGGGGGAAAACAAUAACAUGCACUAUAUGAUACCUGUUUGUCACGCCCACAGCUUCUGUCUGCCCAGCUGGAGACAUUAGCAUAGAGCUGUGAUUGGCACACCUGGUGUUCUGUGUGCGCGCGUGUGUGUGUGUGUGUGUGUCCAUGCAUGAGUGGUGCGUCGGUGGAGCUAUGAAUGGGCAGAGAGGGGUGUGCUCUAACAGACACCAUAGCAGCAGUGGGAUGAGGAGUGCCAUCUACUCCACUGCACGUCUGUACUGAGAGAAGGAAGGAGGGAGAAAAGGAGUUGCACAACAGUAUUCCACAGGAAAUCAUCUAAUCCUAAACCUGCGUCAGCACACUACUCCUACAAAAAAUCUUCAAGUCAGCCAUGGAGCAGAAGGCGAGUGAGUGUCCCUCUACCACCUCUCCUCAGAAGCACAUGAAGAACAGGUCAAAAUCCACAGAGGAGAUGCAACAGACGAGGAAGGCCUUUUCCUCACAAAAAUCACUCCCAGGCAGACCAGAGCUGGAGAAAGUGAAGGAGUGUCCUGAUGGCUCUGACUCGCCAUUGUCCUCCAUGGAAGAGCUGAAGUGAUAAAUGAAGGGAUCUUAGUGUUGCCACCAAGUUAUUGUCAUAAACACAACAUGCAUACAAAUGUACAUAUGUUCACAGGGAAACAUACAAAAUAUGACUGAAGAUAAUCCUGAACUACACAAGUAAUAAACUUAUGACUGGUUGAAGGAAACGGUUUAAAGAUGGCAAACUGAACACACACACAAACUAAUGCACACUGAAACAAUCGCAUGUAAACAAAAGGACCCCUGUGAUGAUGUUGUUUCAUUGUACUGUGAGUGUCGUAUACA
This is a non-coding RNA of Plectropomus leopardus (leopard coralgrouper), 937 nucleotides long. The record is from RefSeq and is a predicted model, not a curated record. Lineage: Eukaryota; Metazoa; Chordata; Actinopteri; Perciformes; Serranidae.